RNAcentral lists this ribosomal RNA (543 nucleotides) under Triticum aestivum (bread wheat). RNAcentral describes it as "partial small subunit ribosomal RNA". Lineage: Eukaryota; Viridiplantae; Streptophyta; Magnoliopsida; Poales; Poaceae. The record is from RNAcentral.
AUGGGGUUCAUCGGCGACCAGGUGGAGUCGAUCCGGUCGAUGCAGGUCCGCCAGGUCGUCACGCAGAUCAUCAGCCUCGGUAUGAUUGUUACCUCGGCACUGAUCAUAUGGAAGGGAUUGAUGGUCGCGACAGGGAGCGAAUCGCCAAUUGUGGUGGUUCUUUCUGGUAGCAUGGAGCCUGGAUUUAAAAGGGGUGAUAUUCUGUUUUUGCACAUGAGCAAAGAACCUAUCCGCACUGGAGAAAUAGUUGUUUUUAAUAUUGAUGGCCGUGAAAUUCCAAUUGUUCACCGUGUGAUCAAGGUUCAUGAACGGCAAGAAAGUGGAGAAGUUGAUAUCCUCACAAAAGGCGAUAAUAAUUUUGGGGAUGACCGACUUCUGUAUGCACAAGGGCAGCUUUGGCUUCAGAAGCAUCACAUUAUGGGGCGGGCUGUAGGCUAUCUACCAUAUGUUGGGUGGGUUACGAUUGUGAUGACUGAGAAGCCCAUCAUUAAGUACCUUCUGAUUGGCGCGCUGGGCCUGCUUGUCAUAACAUCGAAAGAGUGA